UUGGGGAUUGGUGUAACGGUAGCACGACUGACUCUGACUCAGUUAGUCAAGGUUCAAAUCCUUGAUCCCCAGU
RNAcentral lists this transfer RNA (73 nucleotides) under Phycisphaerae bacterium. Its description in RNAcentral is "tRNA-Gln". It matches the Rfam family "tRNA". From Rfam's summary of the family: Transfer RNA (tRNA) molecules are approximately 80 nucleotides in length. The record is from RNAcentral. Lineage: Bacteria; Pseudomonadati; Planctomycetota; Phycisphaerae.